Molecule: non-coding RNA, 3334 nt
Organism: Callithrix jacchus (white-tufted-ear marmoset)
Lineage: Eukaryota; Metazoa; Chordata; Mammalia; Primates; Cebidae
Source: RefSeq, a predicted model, not a curated record
GAGUGGUGCAGCGCACAGCUCCUCACCCUGCAACAAACACAAAAUGGAGUGAAGCCAGAAUCACUUUAUCCUGUUUUUCAAAUAUUCUGUGGCAUGUUUACAAAUACACCCAGGCUUCCUGUGUGCCAGGCACGGCACUAAACACUGGAGCCUGGCAUUCUUGAUCUCACAACUGAGGCAAGUUUUAUUUUACAAAUGAGGACACGGCAGGAGGGAGAGACUGCCCGGCUCCGCGGCUGGCUGGAGUUGCUGCUUGAACCCACUCACCCUCGCAUCAGUUUGGAGCCGGUUCCCAGCGUCCCUCACCAGAGCACGGAGGCGAGCAGGAUCUCAUGCGAUCCCUGCCCCGCCGCCAGAGCUUCAGGGGAAGCAGGAUUUAUUGAGCCUCUCCCAGGGCCUCUCCAGCUGAGGGCCUCCCUCCCUCGUGGCACAGAAGACAAAGGGAGGCCCCUGGCUGCCCUGACGAGACACGUGGAGGAAGGAAGCUGGACCAAUGUGUCCCCACGUGAGCAGGGGCCACGGCUGGGCCCGCUCCUCUGACCAAGGAAGUGUGGGGUCUCCACAGUGCGAGCCGAAAACCCCUGCCUGGUUCCACAUCUUCCUCAGGAAGAAGCCGAGGCUCCCUUGCCAUGCUCUCCAGGGACAAUGCCCUUCUCGUCACCGGGCUGUCAUCAGAAUGAAAUGCUGCCGACACAAUACUGGUGGAAAUGAAAUCCCCUCCGUAAAGGGAUGGCAGCUGCUCUGGCUCUGACCGUCCCAGGGAGAGAAUGGGCCCCGCUGAACUUCAGGGAAGGAUCCUGGACACAGAGCCUUCUUGUCGCAGCCUCUCAUAGAGAUGACCUCAUCCCUGCACCCUGAAGCAGAACGGCGGCUUCGGCUGGGGCUGAUUCACUGGGCUUUGCUGCAGGAGCUGAGCAGCAGCUAACGAGCUCUCUCCUCCCCGGAUCAGGAGAAACCUGGAAUCCUAGAUCCCCACACCCCUGGCAGGUGCAGUUUCAGGGAUGGCCCGGGUCAGCACCAGCCAAUGCAGACAGCCUGUGGGCUGCCAGGAUGGACCUGCCAAUACAGCUGGGGGUGUGGGGUAGGAAACCUACGGCCCAAAGUGUGAAGUCACAGCUCUUCGCAGGGUUGUGGGACAACAGGGUUCUGAUUUCCAUUUUGUGGGGCCAGUGUGUUAUGUGAUUCUUCUUGCUUGUUUCCUUCAAACCCCAGCACACACAGCGCCAACCUCCCUGAGCAGCUGCUCCUGCCUGUCCACAGUGCUUUUUACAAGUGGCUUGGUUUCAAGUGCUUGAGCGUGUGGACCGGUGAACAUAUGUCCCAGAACCUUGGCUGUGAGCAGUGACCAGAUCAACCCUCUUCUCCCUACUUCAUCAAAGGAAACUGAGGUACAGCUCUGCAUGCCAUGCUCUGAGGCUCUAGGUCUGACCCUCGCCCCCUCCCGCAGGUAGAGACAGCAGUAAGCAGUCCCACUCUGCAAAGGGGAACGGAGCCCAGAGGGUUACAGUGACUUCCCGGAAGCCACUCAUCAAAUUACAGCAUGAACCUUCCCUGCCCUUUUCCCGCUGUCUCUGCUCAGGACGGGCCCUGUGUGGGGAAUGCCUCACUCAAGGGCCAGCUCCCCAACAAAUGAUCACCUCUUCACCAGAAGGAGCCCUCUCCACUCACACCCUACAAACGCGACCCUCGGCAGCUCCCCCUGCCACUCCCAGGGGCCUGCACCAAGGCAUCCAUCUAUUUUGAGCUGGUGCAAAGGAAGCAGAGCCAGAGCUCAGGGAGCAAGACAGGGACAGGAACUAUGCACAGGGGACUGUGCAGUGUCACAGCCCUGGGGCAGGAAUCGACAGGUACCACAAAGAACAAGGGGGGGAGGGGGUGGCGGAUUCUACCAAUGGGUCAGGAGGAAGUCACGGAAGGGCCCUAGAGCUGAGAGCUAAGCCCCCCACCUACACCCUCAACAACAGGAGGAGGGUGAUUCCAGGCAGAGUGUGGAGGGGCCCUCAGGGAACCUCUCCAAUAAGUCUUAUGGCUGGAGCUCAGGGGGUCAGCUUGGGCAGGUCACCAAGGGUCUUGGACUAUAUACCUGGCAGACAUCAAAAGGUUCUUAAAGGUGUAAGCAUGGGCCAGGUGCAGUGGCACAUGCCUGUAAUCCUUGCACUUUGGAAGGCCAAGGCAGGUGGAUUACCAGAUAUCAGGAGUUCAAGACCAGCCUGGCCAACAUGGCAAAACCCUGUCUCUACUAAAAAUGCAAACAUUUAGCCAGGCAUGUUGGCAGGCACCUGUAAUCUCAGUUAUUCAGGAGGCUGAGGCAGGAGAAUUGCUCUUGAACCGGGGUGGGGGUGAGGGAGGGGCAGUGCAGUGAGCUGAGAUUGCACCACUUCACUCCAGCCUGGGCUAAAUAUUAGAGUGAGACUCCACGUCAAAAGAAAGUAAGAGGUGUGAGCAGCAGGGUAUGACAGUCAGGAAUGGCCAGAGUGGGGACAUAUGGGGCAAUGCAGGUGCAGAGGGGAGACAGCCCAGGCACAGUCUGGCAGAGGGGCAAGGGAGGGCUGACUCCUGACGUAUGCACAGGGCGGGCAGCAAGUCAAGCUGAGCUAGAGGUGCCCGAGACACAUACAGGUAUGAGCAGAUGUCCCAGGGAAGUAGGUGAUGGGGUUCAGGCCACGCUACCCCAAAAUACGACACGCUGGCAUUUGAGAAACCAGCAGAAGCAGAAAGGUCCUCUCACCCUCUCCCUGCCCUUCUCCCUGAAGCAGGUCAUAAGACCCUCAUGUGAGAGGCACCCUCUCUAUGUCCAGGGGAAAAGAACAUCCUCAUCUCUGAAGACGCAGGGAUUUGUUGAGGGAAGAAUCUCAACAAAGAGACCUCGCUAAGCUUCACCAGGUCACACUUCUUUAUCCGAACUGCUCCACAACUACCUGCUUCUUUAUCAAACCUAGCAUAGAAAAUAAACAGUUGAGGCCAGGCGCGGUGCCUCACGCCUCUCAUCCCAGCACUUUGGGAGACUGAGGCGGGUGGAUUACCUGAGGUCAGGAGUUCAACACAAGUCUGAUCAACAUGUUGAAACCCCAUCUCUACUCAAAAUACAUAAAAAUGAGCUGGAGGCGGUGGUGGGCACCUAUAAUCCCAACUACUCGGGAAGCUGAGGCAGGUGAAUCACUUGAACCCUGGAGGUGGAGGCUGCAGUGAGCCAAGACUGCACCACUGCACUCCAGCCUGGAUGAUAGAGACUAUGUCUCAAAAAAAAGAAAAUACACAUGUUCAGCCCUUUUCUUUGGAUCAUUUCCUAAUGAAAGCUCCUGUAUCAAGUAAAACUCAUAUGAAAUUACCAUUU